This 100-nucleotide non-coding RNA is filed under the name Ornithorhynchus anatinus (platypus). Lineage: Eukaryota; Metazoa; Chordata; Mammalia; Monotremata; Ornithorhynchidae. The record is from RNAcentral.
GUGUAUGAAAGGAGAGAAGGUUAGCACUCCCCUUGAGAGGAUGGAAGAGGUCCCACAGGCCUUCAUAUGGUUAAGGCAUUGCAUCUCACCAAGUUUUCCA